This 253-nucleotide ribosomal RNA is filed under the name uncultured bacterium. RNAcentral's name for it is "partial 16S ribosomal RNA". It matches the Rfam family "Bacterial small subunit ribosomal RNA", at positions 524 to 776 of the family's 1533-position model. The record is from RNAcentral.
UACGUAGGGGGCUAGCGUUGUCCGGAAUCAUUGGGCGUAAAGAGCGUGUAGGCGGCCCGGUAAGUCCGCUGUGAAAGUCGGGGGCUCAACCCUCGAAUGCCGGUGGAUACUGUCGGGCUAGAGUGCGGAAGAGGCGAGUGGAAUUCCUGGUGUAGCGGUGAAAUGCGCAGAUAUCAGAAGGAACACCGAUUGCGAAGGCAGCUCGCUGGGACGUCACUGACGCUGAGACGCGAAAGCGUGGGGAGCAAACAGG